UAAGCAUAUCAAUAAGGGGGGGGAAAAAAAAACCCCACGGGAUUGCCCCCUAGUAACGGCGAGUGAAGCGGCAACAGCUCAAAUUUGAAAUCUGGCCUCUUUGGGGGUCCGAGUUGUAAUUUGCAGAGGAUGCUUUGGCAUUGGCGGUGGUCUAAGUUCCUUGGAACAGGACAUCACAGAGGGUGAGAAUCCCGUACGUGGUCACCUGCCUUUGCCGUGUAAAGCUCCUUCGACGAGUCGAGUUGUUUGGGAAUGCAGCUCUAAAUGGGAGGUAAAUUUCUUCUAAAGCUAAAUACUGGCCAGAGACCGAUAGCGCACAAGUAGAGUGAUCGAAAGAUGAAAAGUACUUUGGAAAGAGAGUCAAAAAGCACGUGAAAUUGUUGAAAGGGAAGCGCUUGCAGCCAGACUUGCCCGCAGUUGCUCACCUAGGCUUUUGCCUGGGGCACUCUUCUGCGGGCAGGCCAGCAUCAGUUUGGGCGGUUGGAUAAAGGCCUCUGUCACGUAUCUUCCUUCGGGAAGACCUUAUAGGGGAGGCGUAAUGCAACCAGCCCGGACUGAGGUCCGCGCAUCUGCUAGGAUGCUGGCGUAAUGGCUGUAAGCGGCCCGUCUUGAAACACGGACCAAGGAGUCUAACAUCUAUGCGAGUGUUUGGGUGUCAAGCCCGGGCGCGCAAUGAAAGUGAACGGAGGUGGGAACCUUUUGGGUGCACCAUCGACCGAUCCUGAUGUCUUCGGAUGGAUUUGAGUAAGAGCAUAGCUGUUGGGACCCGAAAGAUGGUGAACUAUGCUUGAAUAGGGUGAAGCCAGAGGAAACUCUGGUGGAGGCUCGCAGCGGUUCUGACGUGCAAAUCGAUCGUCAAAUUUGGGCAUAGGGGCGAAAAACUAAUCAACCAUCUAGUAGCUGGUUCCUGCCAAU
RNAcentral lists this ribosomal RNA (915 nucleotides) under Paraphaeosphaeria viridescens. Its description in RNAcentral is "eukaryotic LSU rRNA". It matches the Rfam family "Eukaryotic large subunit ribosomal RNA", at positions 35 to 965 of the family's 3401-position model. Lineage: Eukaryota; Fungi; Ascomycota; Dothideomycetes; Pleosporales; Didymosphaeriaceae. The record is from RNAcentral.